GGUUGAUAAGUUUGAAGUGAAAUCCUAUAGCUUAACUAUAGAACUGCUUUGAAAACUGUUAACCUAGAAUAUGGGAGAGGUAGAUGGAAUUUCUGGUGUAGGGGUAAAAUCCGUAGAGAUCAGAAGGAAUACCGAUUGCGAAGGCGAUCUACUGGAACAUUAUUGACGCUGAGACGCGAAAGCGCGGGUAGCAAACAGGAUUAGAUACCCUGGUAGUCCACGCCCUAAACGAUGUACACUAGUUGUUGUGAGGCUCGACCUUGCAGUAAUGCAGUUAACACAUUAAGUGUACCGCCUGGGGAGUACGGUCGCAAGAUUAAAACUCAAAGGAAUAGACGGGGACCCGCACAAGCGGUGGAGCAUGUGGUUUAAUUCGACGAUACACGAAGAACCUUACCUGGACUUGACAUAGUAAGAACUUUCUAGAGAUAGAUUGGUGUCUGCUUGCAGAAACUUAUAUACAGGUGCUGCACGGCUGUCGUCAGCUCGUGUCGUGAGAUGUUGGGUUAAGUCCCGCAACGAGCGCAACCCUCGUCAUUAGUUGCUAACAGUUCGGCUGAGAACUCUAAUGAGACUGCCUACGUAAGUAGGAGGAAGGUGAGGACGACGUCAAGUCAUCAUGGCCCUUACGUCCAGGGCUACACACGUGCUACAAUGGGGUAUACAAAGAGCAGCAAUACGGUGACGUGGAGCAAAUCUCAAAAAUAUCUCCCAGUUCUGAUUGUAGUCUGCAACUCGACUACAUGAAG
RNAcentral lists this ribosomal RNA (749 nucleotides) under uncultured Arcobacter sp. RNAcentral's name for it is "bacterial SSU rRNA". It matches the Rfam family "Bacterial small subunit ribosomal RNA", at positions 578 to 1325 of the family's 1533-position model. Lineage: Bacteria; Pseudomonadati; Campylobacterota; Epsilonproteobacteria; Campylobacterales; Arcobacteraceae. The record is from RNAcentral.